Molecule: long non-coding RNA, 273 nt
Filed under: Pelobates cultripes (western spadefoot toad)
Lineage: Eukaryota; Metazoa; Chordata; Amphibia; Anura; Pelobatidae
Source: RNAcentral
GUCUGCUUCUGACCGUUUGAGCAGACACAUGCACAUUUGUGGCCUGCUGGAGGUCAUUUUGUAGGGCUCUGGCAGUGCUCCUCCUGUUCCUCCUUGCACAAAGGCGGAGGUAGCGGUCCUGCUGCUGGGUUGUUGCCCUCCUACGGCCUCCUCCAUGUCUCCUGAUGUACUGGCCUGUCUCCUGGUAGUGCCUCCAUGCUCUGGACACUACGCUGAUAGACACAGCAAACCUUCUUGCCACAGCUCGCAUUGAUGUGCCAUCCUGGAUGAGCU